GAUGAACGCUGGCGGCGUGCCUAAUACAUGCAAGUCGAGCGAACAGACGAGGAGCUUGCUCCUCUGACGUUAGCGGCGGACGGGUGAGUAACACGUGGAUAACCUACCUAUAAGACUGGGAUAACUUCGGGAAACCGGAGCUAAUACCGGAUAAUAUAUUGAACCGCAUGGUUCAAUAGUGAAAGACGGUUUUGCUGUCACUUAUAGAUGGAUCCGCGCCGCAUUAGCUAGUUGGUAAGGUAACGGCUUACCAAGGCAACGAUGCGUAGCCGACCUGAGAGGGUGAUCGGCCACACUGGAACUGAGACAAGGUCCAGACACCUACGGGAGGCAGCAGGGGGGAAUCUUCCGCAAUGGGCGGAAGCCUGACGGAGCAAAGCCGCGUGAGUGAUGAAGGUCUUCGGAUCGUAAAACGCUGUUAUGAGGGAAGAACAAAUGUGUAAGUAACUAUGCACGCCUUGACGGUACCUAAUCAGAAAGCCACGGCUAACUACGUG
Molecule: ribosomal RNA, 497 nt
Filed under: uncultured bacterium
Lineage: Bacteria
Description: partial 16S ribosomal RNA
Rfam family: Bacterial small subunit ribosomal RNA
Source: RNAcentral